GCCCGGGUAGCUCAGCCUGGAUAGAGCGCCGGGCUGUGGAAGCCCGUGAUGAAGGGCUUGCUGAAACCCGGAGGUCCCGGGUUCAAAUCCCGGCCCGGGCC
RNAcentral lists this transfer RNA (101 nucleotides) under Thermosphaera aggregans DSM 11486. It matches the Rfam family "tRNA". Rfam says of the family: Transfer RNA (tRNA) molecules are approximately 80 nucleotides in length. Their secondary structure includes four short double-helical elements and three loops (D, anti-codon, and T loops). Further hydrogen bonds mediate the characteristic L-shaped molecular structure. tRNAs have two regions of fundamental functional importance: the anti-codon, which is responsible for specific mRNA codon recognition, and the 3' end, to which the tRNAs corresponding amino acid is attached (by aminoacyl-tRNA synthetases). tRNAs cope with the degeneracy of the genetic code in two manners: having more than one tRNA (with a specific anti-codon) for a particular amino acid; and 'wobble' base-pairing, i.e. permitting non-standard base-pairing at the 3rd anti-codon position. Lineage: Archaea; Thermoproteati; Thermoproteota; Thermoprotei; Desulfurococcales; Desulfurococcaceae. The record is from Rfam by way of RNAcentral.